Molecule: ribosomal RNA, 1344 nt
Filed under: uncultured bacterium
Lineage: Bacteria
Description: 16S ribosomal RNA
Rfam family: Bacterial small subunit ribosomal RNA
Source: RNAcentral
GACGAACGCUGGCGGCGUGCUUAACACAUGCAAGUCGAACGGAAAGGCCCUGCUUUUGUGGGGUGCUCGAGUGGCGAACGGGUGAGUAACACGUGAGUAACCUGCCCUUGACUUUGGGAUAACUUCAGGAAACUGGGGCUAAUACCGGAUAGGAGCUCCUGCUGCAUGGUGGGGGUUGGAAAGUUUCGGCGGUUGGGGAUGGACUCGCGGCUUAUCAGCUUGUUGGUGGGGUAGUGGCUUACCAAGGCUUUGACGGGUAGCCGGCCUGAGAGGGUGGCCGGCCACAUUGGGACUGAGAUACGGCCCAGACUCCUACGGGAGGCAGCAGUGGGGAAUAUUGCACAAUGGGCGGAAGCCUGAUGCAGCAACGCCGCGUGCGGGAUGACGGCCUUCGGGUUGUAAACCGCUUUCGCCUGUGACGAAGCGUGAGUGACGGUAAUGGGUAAAGAAGCACCGGCUAACUACGUGCCAGCAGCCGCGGUGAUACGUAGGGUGCGAGCGUUGUCCGGAUUUAUUGGGCGUAAAGGGCUCGUAGGUGGUUGAUCGCGUCGGAAGUGUAAUCUUGGGGCUUAACCCUGAGCGUGCUUUCGAUACGGGUUGACUUGAGGAAGGUAGGGGAGAAUGGAAUUCCUGGUGGAGCGGUGGAAUGCGCAGAUAUCAGGAGGAACACCAGUGGCGAAGGCGGUUCUCUGGGCCUUUUCCUGACGCUGAGGAGCGAAAGCGUGGGGAGCGAACAGGCUUAGAUACCCUGGUAGUCCACGCUGUAAACGGUGGGUACUAGGUGUGGGGUCCAUUCCACGGGUUCCGUGCCGUAGCUAACGCUUUAAGUACCCCGCCUGGGGAGUACGGCCGCAAGGCUAAAACUCAAAGGAAUUGACGGGGCCCCGCACAAGCGGCGGAGCAUGCGGAUUAAUUCGAUGCAACGCGUAGAACCUUACCUGGGUUUGACAUGGAUCGGGAGUGCUCAGAGAUGGGUGUGCCUCUUUUGGGGUCGGUUCACAGGUGGUGCAUGCCUGUCGUCAGCUCGUGUCGUGAGAUGUUGGGUUAAGUCCCGCAACGAGCGCAACCCUUGUUCACUGUUGCCAGCACGUUAUGGUGGGGACUCAGUGGAGACCGCCGGGGUCAACUCGGAGGAAGGUGGGGAUGACGUCAAGUCCUCAUGCCCCUUAUGUCCAGGGCUUCACGCAUGCUACAAUGGCUGGUACAGAGAGUGGCGAGCCUGUGAGGGUGAGCGAAUCUCGGAAAGCCGGUCUCAGUUCGGAUUGGGGUCUGCAACUCGACCUCAUGAAGUCGGAGUCGCUAGUAAUCGCAGAUCAGCAACGCUGCGGUGAAUACGUUCCCGGG